CUGCAGAGGGACGUGGAUAGACUAGAGCGAUGGGCCAAGGUAAACUUUGAGUUUCAGUAGGGCCAAAUGCCAGGUCCUGCAUUCUGGUCACAACCCCAGGCAACCCAACGUGUUUGGGGAGGAGUGGCUGGAAAGCUGCCUGAUGGAAAGGGACCUCGGUGUGCUGAUGGACAGUUGGCUGAACAUGAGCCAGCAGUGUGCCCAGGUGGCCAAGAAGGCCAACAGCAUCCUGGCUUGGAUCAGGAAUGGAGUGGUGAGCAGGACCAGGGAAGUCAUCCUGCCCUGUGCUCGGCCCUGGUGAGGCCUCACCUCGAGUGCUGUGUUCAGUUUUGGGCACCUCAGUACGGAAAGGCCAUGGAGGUGCUGGAGCAGGUCCAAAGAAGGGCAACAAGGCUGGAGAAGGGCUUGGAGGAUAUGGCCUAUGAGGAAAGGCUGAAGGAACUGGGGCUGUUUGGUCUGGGGAAAAGGAGGCUGAGGGGAGACCUUAAUGCUCUCUUCCAAUACCUGGAAGGUGGUUGCAGUGAGAGCAGGGCUGGUCUCUUCUCACUGGUGACAGUGAGCAAUUCCAUGAUUCCUGCGUGCCCCAGUGAGGCCCUGGAAGGCCACUAUAAGCUCUCAUCAGAGACUCCUCCAGGCUGAAGAGCCCCAUUUCUCCAUCCCGCAAAGCAGAAGUAAUUGAGCAGAGGAGGCGGGCAACCCUCAAGGCUAAGGACAGACCUGCAGCUUAAAGUGAGGGAAAAGAGAGAUGUACAGGAAGUGCAAGUAGGGUUGUGUAUCCUGGGAUGAAUAUAAGGAUGUUUUCUGCGUGUGUAGAAAGAAUUUCGGGAAAGCCAAGGCACAGAUAGAGCUGAACUUGGCGAGGGAUGUGCAAAAUAACAAGGAGGGGUUCUACAGGUACACAUAAGCAGGAGACAGAUCAAGGAGCGUUCCCCCUCUGAUAAAUGAGAACGGAGAACUUCCUCAGACAUGGAAAAAGCUGAGGUGCUCAAUAAGAGCUUUGCCUCGGUCUUCACUGGCGGUCAGACUCCUCCCCACAUCUGCCAGGACUGAAGGUUGAGGGAACUGGGCUUGUUUAGCUUGGAAAUGAGAAGGCUGUGGGGAGGCCUCAUUGUGGCCUUCCAAUACUUGAAGGGAGCGUAUAAACAGGAGGGGGAACGGCUGUUUAUGAGGGUGGAUAGUGAUAGGACAAGGGGGAAUGGUUUUAAAUGAAGACGGGAGGUUUAGGUUGGAUAUGAGGAGGAAGAUCUUCACCCAAAGGGUGGUGACGCACUGAACAGGCUGCCCAAGGAGGCUGUGGAUGCCCCAUCCCUCGAGGCAUUCAAGGCCAGGCUGGAUGUGGCUCUGGGCAGCCUGGGCUGCUGGUUGGUGACCCUGCACAUAGCAGGGGGGUGGAACGGGAUGAGCACUGUGGGUCUUUUCAACCCAGGCCAUGCUGUGAUUCUAUGCUGAGCUGUGUCCAUCACCUCCCCCCGCCCUGCCUGGCUGUGCUGUGCUGUGCUGUGCUGUGCUGUGCUCCGAGUGCACUGUUCCUGGGAUAAGCAGCAGUGCAAUCUUCCACUAUCACAACCCGUCUCUUUCAUCCUG
RNAcentral lists this long non-coding RNA (1584 nucleotides) under Gallus gallus (chicken). Its description in RNAcentral is "lncRNA (ENSGALG00010028651.1)". Lineage: Eukaryota; Metazoa; Chordata; Aves; Galliformes; Phasianidae. The record is from RNAcentral.